CACGUAGGCGGCUUGGUUAGUCAGAUGUGAAAGCCCGGGGCUUAACCCCGGAAGUGCAUUUGAUACUGCCAGGCUUGAGUAUGGGAGAGGGAAGUGGAAUUCCUGGUGUAGAGGUGAAAUUCGUAGAUAUCAGGAGGAACACCGGUGGCGAAGGCGACUUCCUGGACCAAUACUGACGCUGAGGUGCGAAGGCGUGGGUAGCAAACA
This 207-nucleotide ribosomal RNA is filed under the name uncultured bacterium. RNAcentral's name for it is "partial 16S ribosomal RNA". It matches the Rfam family "Bacterial small subunit ribosomal RNA", at positions 568 to 774 of the family's 1533-position model. The record is from RNAcentral.